This is a long non-coding RNA of Manis javanica (Malayan pangolin), 487 nucleotides long. RefSeq lists it as uncharacterized. The record is from RefSeq and is a predicted model, not a curated record. Lineage: Eukaryota; Metazoa; Chordata; Mammalia; Pholidota; Manidae.
CUUCCCAGCCGUCCUUCGCUUCAGGCUCCGAAGAGGCUCGGCGUCGGCGGGAUCGCGCAGGCGCGGCUGGCGGUUCGCGGAGCGCCGAGUAGCGGCGCGGGGCACGCGGUUUGAAACACACCUCAGCAAGAGGAGAUGCCCCGGCGCACGUGUGCAGGUGAAAGUUCCUCGGAAACAGCUCUUACUUAUUCAAGGAAGCGGAAGAUAGAAACAUCACCAGUAACUUGUCCAUCACCAGAAACAGAUGAAGAGAAUGAAUCAGAACACAAAACCACAGCUUCAGCUGGAUCUGAACCAGCAGACACAAAGGAACUCCGCUGACCCAAAUAACACACUGUGAGUGGGGAGGCCUGGAGACCUCUAACUAUCUGUGGUCUCCAGAAGAAGGAGCCUAUGGAGAAACGGCCAACCAGAGUGGCCAAAUGUUACACCAACGGCACACACAGAUGGUCAUGAUUCAAUAAAAUCAAUGAAACAUGGAAAGAUA